This 463-nucleotide ribosomal RNA is filed under the name Rhineura floridana. RNAcentral's name for it is "partial 12S ribosomal RNA". It matches the Rfam family "Bacterial small subunit ribosomal RNA", at positions 794 to 1483 of the family's 1533-position model. The record is from RNAcentral. Lineage: Eukaryota; Metazoa; Chordata; Lepidosauria; Squamata; Rhineuridae.
GCUCGGCCCUAAACAUCGGAAGUUCCUACAACACACCCCGCCAGAGAACUACAAGCAAAAGCUUUAAACUCAAAGGACUUGGCGGUGCCCCACACCACCCUAGAGGAGCCUGUCCUAUAAUCGAUACCCCACGUUAAACCUCACCACAUUUUGCACUCGCCAGCCUAUAUACCGCCGUCGUAUGCUUACACCAUGAGGGCAUAUAAGUAAGCACAACAGUAACAUACUAAAACAUCAGGUCAAGGUGUAGCUAACAAAGUGGAAGCGAUGGGCUACAUUUUCUACAACAGAACAUACGGCAAAUACAAUGAAAUACUGAAUUACAAGGUGGAUUUAGCAGUAAACUAAGGCAAGAAUGCCAACUUUAACCCUGCUCUGGGGCGCGCACACACCGCCCGUCACCCUCAUCAAAAACAACCACAAGCAGUCCAUAAAACUAUCCGACCAACACAAAGAUGAGGUA